AUACGGAGGGUGCGAGCGUUAAUCGGAAUUACUGGGCGUAAAGGGUGCGUAGGUGGUUAUAUAAGUUAUCUGUGAAAUCCCCGGGCUCAACCUGGGCAGGUCAGAUGAGACUGUAUGACUCGAGUAUAGGAGAGGGUAGUGGAAUUUCCGGUGUAGCGGUGAAAUGCGUAGAGAUCGGAAGGAACACCAGUGGCGAAGGCGGCUACCUGGCCUGAUACUGACACUGAGGCACGAAAGCGUGGGGAGC
RNAcentral lists this ribosomal RNA (247 nucleotides) under uncultured bacterium. RNAcentral describes it as "partial 16S ribosomal RNA". It matches the Rfam family "Bacterial small subunit ribosomal RNA", at positions 523 to 769 of the family's 1533-position model. The record is from RNAcentral.